GCCCUCGUGGUGAAACGGAUAUCACACGACGCUUCGGACGUCGCGUUUCGGGUUCAAAUCCUGACGAGGGCG
RNAcentral lists this transfer RNA (72 nucleotides) under Candidatus Tagabacteria bacterium CG09_land_8_20_14_0_10_41_14. RNAcentral's name for it is "tRNA-Arg". It matches the Rfam family "tRNA". From Rfam's summary of the family: Transfer RNA (tRNA) molecules are approximately 80 nucleotides in length. The record is from RNAcentral. Lineage: Bacteria; Candidatus Tagaibacteriota. RNAcentral also lists the same sequence under 1 other name.